GCCGGUUUUCGACAGUGGCCUACGGAGCGUUUAUCCGUGGGCUUCGAUCGAAGGCCGAA
Molecule: non-coding RNA, 59 nt
Filed under: Schaalia dentiphila ATCC 17982
Lineage: Bacteria; Bacillati; Actinomycetota; Actinomycetes; Actinomycetales; Actinomycetaceae
Source: RNAcentral